UACAGAGGUGGCAAGCGUUGUUCGGAAUUACUGGGCGUAAAGGGCGCGUAGGCGGCCUUCUAAGUCGGACGUGAAAGCCCCAGGCUUAACCUGGGAACUGCGUCCGAUACUGGGAGGCUUGGAUUCGGGAGAGGGAUGUGGAAUUCCAGGUGUAGCGGUGAAAUGCGUAGAUAUCAGGAGGAACACCGGUGGCGAAGGCGGCAUCCUGGACCGGCAUUGACGCUGAGGCGCGAAAGCCAGGGGAGCAAACGGG
RNAcentral lists this ribosomal RNA (253 nucleotides) under uncultured bacterium. RNAcentral describes it as "partial 16S ribosomal RNA". It matches the Rfam family "Bacterial small subunit ribosomal RNA", at positions 524 to 776 of the family's 1533-position model. The record is from RNAcentral.